UACGUAGGGGGCGAGCGUUGUCCGGAGUUACUGGGCGUAAAGGGCAUGCAGGCGGUCGGACGCGUUUCGGGUGACAGCGGGUGGCUUAACUACCCGAGCGGUCGAAAGACGGUGCGACUUGAGGACGCGAGAGGGACACGGAAUUCCGGGUGGAGUGGUGAAAUGCGUAGAGAUCCGGAGGAACACCGAAGGCGAAGGCAGUGUCCUGGCGCGUGACUGACGCUGAGGUGCGAAAGCCAGGGGAGCGAACGGG
Molecule: ribosomal RNA, 253 nt
Filed under: uncultured bacterium
Lineage: Bacteria
Description: partial 16S ribosomal RNA
Rfam family: Bacterial small subunit ribosomal RNA
Source: RNAcentral